This 469-nucleotide ribosomal RNA is filed under the name uncultured bacterium. RNAcentral describes it as "partial 16S ribosomal RNA". It matches the Rfam family "Bacterial small subunit ribosomal RNA", at positions 28 to 507 of the family's 1533-position model. The record is from RNAcentral.
GACGAACGCUGGCGGCGUGCUUAACACAUGCAAGUCGAACGAUGAAGCCUUAGCUUGCUUUGGUGGAUUAGUGGCGAACGGGUGAGUAACACGUGAGCAACGUGCCCAGGACUCUGGAAUAACCGCGGGAAACCGUGGCUAAUACCGGAUAGGUGCCGAGGCCGCAUGGUCUUCGGUUGGAAAGUUUUUGCGGUUCUGGAUCGGCUCACGGCCUAUCAGCUUGUUGGUGGGGGAAUGGCCUACCAAGGCGACGACGGGUAGCCGGCCUGAGAGGGUGACCGGCCACACUGGGACUGAGACACGGCCCAGACUCCUACGGGAGGCAGCAGUGGGGAAUAUUGCACAAUGGGCGCAAGCCUGAUGCAGCAACGCCGCGUGGGGGAUGACGGCCUUCGGGUUGUAAACCUCUUUUAGUAGGGAAGAAGCGCAAGUGACGGUACCUGCAGAAAAAGCACCGGCUAACUACGUG